CUGCUCAGGACGAACGCUGGCGGCGUGCUUAACACAUGCAAGUCGAACGAUGAUCUCCAGCUUGCUGGGGGGAUUAGUGGCGAACGGGUGAGUAACACGUGAGUAACCUGCCCUUGACUCUGGGAUAAGCACUGGAAACGGUGUCUAAUACCGGAUACGACCUUCCGCCGCAUGGUGAGGGGGUGGAAAGAAUUUCGGUCAAGGAUGGACUCGCGGCCUAUCAGCUUGUUGGUGAGGUAAUGGCUCACCAAGGCGACGACGGGUAGCCGGCCUGAGAGGGUGACCGGCCACACUGGGACUGAGACACGGCCCAGACUCCUACGGGAGGCAGCAGUGGGGAAUAUUGCACAAUGGGCGAAAGCCUGAUGCAGCAACGCCGCGUGAGGGAUGACGGCCUUCGGGUUGUAAACCUCUUUUAGUAGGGAAGAAGCGAAAGUGACGGUACCUGCAGAAAAAGCACCGGCUAACUACGUGCCAGCAGCCGCGGUAAUACGUAGGGUGCAAGCGUUGUCCGGAAUUAUUGGGCGUAAAGAGCUCGUAGGCGGUUUGUCGCGUCUGCUGUGAAAUCUGGAGGCUCAACCUCCAGCCUGCAGUGGGUACGGGCAGACUAGAGUGCGGUAGGGGAGAUUGGAAUUCCUGGUGUAGCGGUGGAAUGCGCAGAUAUCAGGAGGAACACCGAUGGCGAAGGCAGAUCUCUGGGCCGUAACUGACGCUGAGGAGCGAAAGCAUGGGGAGCGAACAGGAUUA
RNAcentral lists this ribosomal RNA (747 nucleotides) under Clavibacter sp. Its description in RNAcentral is "bacterial SSU rRNA". It matches the Rfam family "Bacterial small subunit ribosomal RNA", at positions 20 to 780 of the family's 1533-position model. The record is from RNAcentral. Lineage: Bacteria; Bacillati; Actinomycetota; Actinomycetes; Micrococcales; Microbacteriaceae.